Alligator sinensis (Chinese alligator) is the source of this 1720-nucleotide long non-coding RNA. RefSeq lists it as uncharacterized. The transcript is spliced from 3 exons. The record is from RefSeq and is a predicted model, not a curated record. NCBI's taxonomy places the organism in Eukaryota, Metazoa, Chordata, Crocodylia, Alligatoridae.
GAGCCUGUCGGCGGCGAUCACCUGCCUCAGGGGUGUUCAGCAGCAGCAGUAUUAUCUUACAGUUACUAUUGAGAAUCUAUUAAUACUAUAGAAACCUGCCGUCAUUUUACUGGACUCUGUUUCUGAGGACUCCGCUUGUUUUGAAUAAAAAAAACAAACGAUGUCAUAAAAUGAUGUUAUCCUGUAAACGAAUUAACAUUUUACACCUGAUAAUGAGAAGUCUUUUUUUUUUAGCCUUCCCAGCAGCAAGUGCAGUAAACUGGCCACCUCUAUGUGUGCGUUAAUGCACCAUAGGGUGCAUUCAGUUCAGGACCUACAAUAACGGGUGCCUGGCACACGCGCGCUGCAGGAUAAAGCCUGAGACUGCAGUGGGAAUCCGCAGCGGCCACAGCCUUGUCUGAGGGCUUGGCAGAUGAGCCGCUCUAUUUCCCGGUGGUGGGGAGGGGUGUUGCUGCUGUCCUCCUCCCAGAGGCAGGGCCGUCUGAGUCGCAGUACGGGUACUUGCUUAACGUUGUCCUGGUUAACGUUUUGUUGUUAUGUCUCUGAUCAAUUAGAGAACGUACUCGUUUAAAGUCGCGCAAUGUUCGGUUAUAACUUCGGCUGCCGCCUGGUAGUAGGUAACUGCUGUGGUGUAAUUGGAUUUGCUUAAAGUCACAUUUUUCAAGGACAUAACUAUGAUGUUAAGCGAGGAGUAGCUGUAAUUAGCAAGCGAGAAGCGGAUCAUGAGGGACAGUUCCAAGAAAGCUGAGACACGGAGACCGGGGGUGGCACCCAGUCCUAGUCAACCACUCCUAGGGAAGUACAAAGGUCGCAGGCCGUGACUCAAUUUCUUCUCCCUACUGAAGUGACCAAAAGCUCCUUGUGUCAAAGGAGUGAAGGGGAACGCACCCCAAGUUUGUCCUGAGCUCUAUAACCACUCCCCCCACACAAAGGCAGAGGUAUGAGAGUCCAGAACUUGCCUCAAACCAUGAGGACAUCUGAGGGCCCUGAGACCUCCCCACCAGGGCCGGACACAGGCAUGGGUGAACCGGGCAGCCACCCAGGACACAUCAGAAAGGGGGCCUGAAAAUGGCAUUUUAUUUACCCAUUUAAGAAUGCAAGACAACUAGGACGAAUUAUUGUCCAACUCCUGAAGACAUUACUCCAUCACUGAUGAGUCAAACAAACAGGAGCUUUGCCUGUCAGGUUUCUCACCAUUGCAGUUACUACGAGUGAAGCAUCACCUCCUCUUUGUUCAGUAGCUGCAUUUUCAAAGGAAUUAAUUAGGUGCUUCAGAAGGAUAAGCUGAACAGGAAGCUGCAUACCUCAAGAAAAUGACAGGGUGUAUCUGAAAUAUCCUUCUCUUCUCCUGAACUGAAGUACCUGAAGAAGAACUGCAAGAAGGUGGCUUAGUUCAUUUGAAAUAAUUUUGAAAUGUUCUCCUGAGGGUUGGUACUUUUUGAAAGAAUUUAGCAAGCUGGAUUAAACCCACAGCCUUCCCCUUCCCAGAUCUAGUACAUGCAGCACCUGCUACAUUCAGUCCAGGACCCAGCAGGAAAACAUCAAGCAUCCCUGGUGCUUGGCUGCCACCAUGUAAACAAGCAUGGUGCUUGAUAGACCUGUGUGAAUAGGCAAAACUACUUGAUUCGGAUUUGGAUUCAGCUGAUUUGAAUUCAGCUGAUUCGAUUUGGAAAAGAUUUGGAAAAGAUUCAGCAAUUCGGAGAUUUGGCCAUAGGGUAUA